This 1423-nucleotide ribosomal RNA is filed under the name Bacillus sp. Tp11. RNAcentral describes it as "bacterial SSU rRNA". It matches the Rfam family "Bacterial small subunit ribosomal RNA". The record is from RNAcentral. Lineage: Bacteria; Bacillati; Bacillota; Bacilli; Caryophanales; Bacillaceae.
AUUCUAGAGUUUGAUCAUGGCUCAGGACGAACGCUGGCGGCGUGCCUAAUACAUGCAAGUCGAGCGGACAGAAGGGAGCUUGCUCCCGGAUGUUAGCGGCGGACGGGUGAGUAACACGUGGGUAACCUGCCUGUAAGACUGGGAUAACUCCGGGAAACCGGAGCUAAUACCGGAUAGUUCCUUGAACCGCAUGGUUCAAGGAUGAAAGACGGUUUCGGCUGUCACUUACAGAUGGACCCGCGGCGCAUUAGCUAGUUGGUGAGGUAACGGCUCACCAAGGCGACGAUGCGUAGCCGACCUGAGAGGGUGAUCGGCCACACUGGGACUGAGACACGGCCCAGACUCCUGCGGGAGGCAGCAGUAGGGAAUCUUCCGCAAUGGACGAAAGUCUGACGGAGCAACGCCGCGUGAGUGAUGAAGGUUUUCGGAUCGUAAAGCUCUGUUGUUAGGGAAGAACAAGUGCAAGAGUAACUGCUUGCACCUUGACGGUACCUAACCAGAAAGCCACGGCUAACUACGUGCCAGCAGCCGCGGUAAUACGUAGGUGGCAAGCGUUGUCCGGAAUUAUUGGGCGUAAAGGGCUCGCAGGCGGUUUCUUAAGUCUGAUGUGAAAGCCCCCGGCUCAACCGGGGAGGGUCAUUGGAAACUGGGAAACUUGAGUGCAGAAGAGGAGAGUGGAAUUCCACGUGUAGCGGUGAAAUGCGUAGAGAUGUGGAGGAACACCAGUGGCGAAGGCGACUCUCUGGUCUGUAACUGACGCUGAGGAGCGAAAGCGUGGGGAGCGAACAGGAUUAGAUACCCUGGUAGUCCACGCCGUAAACGAUGAGUGCUAAGUGUUAGGGGGUUUCCGCCCCUUAGUGCUGCAGCUAACGCAUUAAGCACUCCGCCUGGGGAGUACGGUCGCAAGACUGAAACUCAAAGGAAUUGACGGGGGCCCGCACAAGCGGUGGAGCAUGUGGUUUAAUUCGAAGCAACGCGAAGAACCUUACCAGGUCUUGACAUCCUCUGACAACCCUAGAGAUAGGGCUUUCCCUUCGGGGACAGAGUGACAGGUGGUGCAUGGUUGUCGUCAGCUCGUGUCGUGAGAUGUUGGGUUAAGUCCCGCAACGAGCGCAACCCUUGAUCUUAGUUGCCAGCAUUUAGUUGGGCACUCUAAGGUGACUGCCGGUGACAAACCGGAGGAAGGUGGGGAUGACGUCAAAUCAUCAUGCCCCUUAUGACCUGGGCUACACACGUGCUACAAUGGACAGAACAAAGGGCUGCGAGACCGCAAGGUUUAGCCAAUCCCACAAAUCUGUUCUCAGUUCGGAUCGCAGUCUGCAACUCGACUGCGUGAAGCUGGAAUCGCUAGUAAUCGCGGAUCAGCAUGCCGCGGUGAAUACGUUCCCGGGCCUUGUACACACCGCCCGUCACACGGUACCAU